Drosophila ananassae is the source of this 639-nucleotide long non-coding RNA. RefSeq lists it as uncharacterized. The transcript has 2 exons. The record is from RefSeq and is a predicted model, not a curated record. Lineage: Eukaryota; Metazoa; Arthropoda; Insecta; Diptera; Drosophilidae.
CGUAAACGUAAACGCAAACGAACGAGAAACAGAAAAAAAAAAAACGAGGAACCAAAUAAAUCAAACCGAGGCAGACAAGCGCACACGCACUCCCCCAAAAUGCCGGUCUUCGUCCUUUGGAUUUUGUGUAAGCACUUCGUCGCUGUUUGCUCAAGUGGCUCGCGUGUUAAUUGUCGGGGAAUGUGCAUAACACGGCGAUAACAAUGAGCUGCCAUCCAGUCAGCCAGUCGAAGGAGCUCCCUCCCCUUCCCAAGCUGAGCACCUCCAGCCAGCACCCCAGCGCCCCAACUCCCCAGGUGGCCAAUUCGAACCUAACGUGCCCGGUGACAAUUCAAAAUUAACUGUCCAAGUGCUGGAGCGGCGCUGGAAAAGCAGCGCAUAAUCAAAUGGGCCAGGGAACGCAUAAAUAAGCUCGAAAAGCCGCCAGGAAAGGCGAAGCAACGGAAGUGCGACUUCGCCACGCAGCUCUUAAAAAAAAGUUACAUUUUUUAACUGAAUCUGUUAACGGUGAUCGAUAGCGUUGGCUUUUUAUUUUAAACAUUUUUCCAACAGGUUAAUUUAUUUCAUGUUGAAGAUUGAAAUUUUGUUCUUUUAGUGGGAAAGUUUGUGAAAAAUAAACCUUUUAAAUGAUAUCCUUUA